UGGAAGUAAAAGUCGUAACAAGGUCUCCGUUGGUGAACCAGCGGAGGGAUCAUUACCGAGUUUACAACUCCCAAACCCCUGUGAACAUACCACUUGUUGCCUCGGCGGAUCAGCCCGCUCCCGGUAAAACGGGACGGCCCGCCAGAGGACCCCUAAACUCUGUUUCUAUAUGUAACUUCUGAGUAAAACCAUAAAUAAAUCAAAACUUUCAACAACGGAUCUCUUGGUUCUGGCAUCGAUGAAGAACGCAGCAAAAUGCGAUAAGUAAUGUGAAUUGCAGAAUUCAGUGAAUCAUCGAAUCUUUGAACGCACAUUGCGCCCGCCAGUAUUCUGGCGGGCAUGCCUGUUCGAGCGUCAUUUCAACCCUCAAGCACAGCUUGGUGUUGGGACUCGCGUUAAUUCGCGUUCCCCAAAUUGAUUGGCGGUCACGUCGAGCUUCCAUAGCGUAGUAGUAAAACCCUCGUUACUGGUAAUCGUCGCGGCCACGCCGUUAAACCCCAACUUCUGAAUGUUGACCUCGGAUCAGGUAGGAAUACCCGCUGAACUUAAGCAUAUCAAUAAGCGGAGGAA
Molecule: unclassified non-coding RNA, 570 nt
Filed under: Fusarium veterinarium
Lineage: Eukaryota; Fungi; Ascomycota; Sordariomycetes; Hypocreales; Nectriaceae
Description: sequence contains 18S rRNA gene, ITS1, 5.8S rRNA gene, ITS2, 28S rRNA gene
Rfam family: 5.8S ribosomal RNA (bases 204-357)
Source: RNAcentral